RNAcentral lists this ribosomal RNA (248 nucleotides) under uncultured bacterium. RNAcentral's name for it is "partial 16S ribosomal RNA". It matches the Rfam family "Bacterial small subunit ribosomal RNA", at positions 529 to 776 of the family's 1533-position model. The record is from RNAcentral.
AGGGUGCAAGCGUUAAUCGGAAUUACUGGGCGUAAAGCGUGCGCAGGCGGUUUGUUAAGUCCGCUGUGAAAUCCCCGAGCUCAACUUGGGAAUUGCAGUGGAUACUGGCAAGCUGGAGUAUGGUAGAGGAAGGUGGAAUUCCCGGUGUAGCAGUGAAAUGCGUAGAGAUCGGGAGGAGCACCAGUGGCGAAGGCGGCCUUCUGGACCAAUACUGACGCUCAUGCACGAAAGCGUGGGGAGCAAACAGG